Molecule: transfer RNA, 73 nt
Filed under: Cytophagia bacterium
Lineage: Bacteria; Pseudomonadati; Bacteroidota; Cytophagia
Description: tRNA-Glu
Rfam family: tRNA
About the family: Transfer RNA (tRNA) molecules are approximately 80 nucleotides in length.
Source: RNAcentral
UCCGUUAUAGUCUAGUCGGUCAGGACAUCGCCCUUUCAAGGCGAAAACCCGGGUUCGAACCCCGGUAUCGGAA